Molecule: ribosomal RNA, 381 nt
Filed under: uncultured eukaryote
Lineage: Eukaryota
Description: partial 18S ribosomal RNA
Rfam family: Eukaryotic small subunit ribosomal RNA
Source: RNAcentral
CAAUAGCGUAUAUUAAAGUUGUUGCGGUAAAAAAGCUCGUAGUUGGAUUUCUACCGAAGAUAGCCGGUCGGGUCUUCGGCCUUGUAUCUGGUUUUGUCUUUGGUAUCCUCAUAGGGAACGUUUCUGCGCUUUAUUGCGUGGUGCGGUAUCUAUGACUUUUACUUUGAGGAAAUUAGAGUGUUCACGGCAGGCAAACGCCUUGAAUAUAUUAGCAUGGAAUAAUAACAUAGGAUCUUCGUCCUAUUUUGUUGGUUUCUAGGGCUAAGAUAAUGAUUAAUAGGGAUAAUUGGGGGCAUCUGUAUCAACGCGUCAGAGGUGGAAUUCUUGGAUUGCGUUGCGACAAACUACUGCGAAAGCAUUUGCCAAGGAUGUUUUCAUUGA